AUUGAACGCUGGCGGCAGGCCUAACACAUGCAAGUCGAGCGGCAGCGGGAAAGUAGCUUGCUACUUUUGCCGGCGAGCGGCGGACGGGUGAGUAAUGCCUGGGGAUCUGCCCAGUCGAGGGGGGAUAACUACUGGAAACGGUAGCUAAUACCGCAUACGCCCUACGGGGGAAAGCAGGGGACCUUCGGGCCUUGCGCGAUUGGAUGAACCCAGGUGGGAUUAGCUAGUUGGUGAGGUAAGGGCUCACCAAGGCGACGAUCCCUAGCUGGUCUGAGAGGAUGAUCAGCCACACUGGAACUGAGACACGGUCCAGACUCCUACGGGAGGCAGCAGUGGGGAAUAUUGCACAAUGGGGGAAACCCUGAUGCAGCCAUGCCGCGUGUGUGAAGAAGGCCUUCGGGUUGUAAAGCACUUUCAGCGAGGAGGAAAGGUUGGUAGCUAAUAACUGCCGGCUGUGACGUUACUCGCAGAAGAAGCACCGGCUAACUCCGUGCCAGCCGCCGCCGUAACAC
RNAcentral lists this ribosomal RNA (512 nucleotides) under uncultured bacterium. RNAcentral's name for it is "bacterial SSU rRNA". It matches the Rfam family "Bacterial small subunit ribosomal RNA", at positions 29 to 526 of the family's 1533-position model. The record is from RNAcentral.